UAGGGAAUCUUCGGCAAUGGACGAAAGUCUGACCGAGCAACGCCGCGUGAGUGAAGAAGGUUUUCGGAUCGUAAAACUCUGUUGUUAGAGAAGAACAAGGACGUUAGUAACUGAACGUCCCCUGACGGUAUCUAACCAGAAAGCCACGGCUAACUACGUGCCAGCAGCCGCGGUAAUACGUAGGUGGCACGCGUUGUCCGGAUUUAUUGGGCGUAAAGCGAGCGCAGGCGGUUUCUUAAGUCUGAUGUGAAAGCCCCCGGCUCAACCGGGGAGGGUCAUUGGAAACUGGGAGACUUGAGUGCAGAAGAGGAGAGUGGAAUUCCAUGUGUAGCGGUGAAAUGCGUAGAUAUAUGGAGGAACACCAGUGGCGAAGGCGGCUCUCUGGUCUGUAACUGACGCUGAGGCUCGAAAGCGUGGGGAGCAAACAGG
This 429-nucleotide ribosomal RNA is filed under the name Gemmatimonadota bacterium. RNAcentral's name for it is "Gemmatimonadetes bacterium partial 16S ribosomal RNA". It matches the Rfam family "Bacterial small subunit ribosomal RNA", at positions 355 to 776 of the family's 1533-position model. The record is from RNAcentral. Lineage: Bacteria; Pseudomonadati; Gemmatimonadota.